RNAcentral lists this ribosomal RNA (254 nucleotides) under uncultured bacterium. RNAcentral describes it as "partial 16S ribosomal RNA". It matches the Rfam family "Bacterial small subunit ribosomal RNA", at positions 524 to 776 of the family's 1533-position model. The record is from RNAcentral.
UACGUAGGGGGCGAGCGUUGUCCGGAAUCAUUGGGCGUAAAGAGCUCGUAGGCGGCUCAGAAAGUCGGCUGUGAAAGCUCGGGGCUCAACCCCGAGACUGCAGUCGAUACUGCUGUGGCUAGAGUCCGGUAGAGGAGAGUGGAAUUCCCGGUGUAGCGGUGAAAUGCGCAGAUAUCGGGAGGAACACCAGCAGCGAAGGCGGCUCUCUGGGCCGGAACUGACGCUGAGGAGCGAAAGCGUGGGGAGCAAACAGG